Molecule: small nucleolar RNA, 129 nt
Organism: Grammomys surdaster
Lineage: Eukaryota; Metazoa; Chordata; Mammalia; Rodentia; Muridae
Product: small nucleolar RNA SNORA3/SNORA45 family
Exons: 1
Source: RefSeq, a predicted model, not a curated record
GCCGAGACUAGAGUCACAUCCUGACAGGGUACUUGUCCUGGUGUGCUAGAGUCCUCGAAGAAUAACUGCUGACCUUAUUCACUGGCUGUGGACUUUCUGGCACAGUCAGUCACCAGGUUAGAGACAUAU